CACGUAGGAGGCGAGCGUUGUCCGGAAUCAUUGGGCGUAAAGAGCGCGCAGGCGGUUUGUCGCGUCUGCUGUGAAAAUCCGGGGCUCAACUCCGGACUUGCAGUGGGUACGGGCAGGCUAGAGUGUGGUAGGGGAGACUGGAAUUCCUGGUGUAGCGGUGGAAUGCGCAGAUAUCAGGAGGAACACCGAUGGCGAAGGCAGGUCUCUGGGCCACUACUGACGCUGAGAAGCGAAAGCAUGGGGAGCGAACAGG
This 253-nucleotide ribosomal RNA is filed under the name uncultured bacterium. Its description in RNAcentral is "partial 16S ribosomal RNA". It matches the Rfam family "Bacterial small subunit ribosomal RNA", at positions 524 to 776 of the family's 1533-position model. The record is from RNAcentral.